Molecule: long non-coding RNA, 3883 nt
Filed under: Sus scrofa (pig)
Lineage: Eukaryota; Metazoa; Chordata; Mammalia; Artiodactyla; Suidae
Description: lncRNA (ENSSSCG00060058914.1)
Source: RNAcentral
UGAGCUCUGACAGCCACCGUCUGUGUGAAGGCCAAGAGCCUAAAAAGCUCCGCAGGGGCGGUGCCUCCUGACUUCCAGAGAGCUCCCGAGGUUCCGUGCCUUGAAUGGCUUUGCUCUCAUUUUCCUCAGCCUGCAGGGUGAGCCCCAUCUCAAAGCGCCAGCUCUUCUGCAGACUAGAUGCCAGAGACACAGCCCUAAAGCAAGACCCCCCUGCCCCCUCCCCAAAACACUGAGUUUACAAAUAGUGAAAAGCAAUUACGAUGCUACGGUGAACCACAAUGGUAAUGAGUGCUGUAAAUAAGAGGUUUGCUUUAAAAAAAAAAAAAAAAUUAGGGGAGUUCCCAUCGUGGCGCAGCGAAAACGACUUCAACUAGGACCAUGAGGUUGCGGGUUCGAUCCCUGGCCUUGCUCAGUGGGUUAAGGAUCCUGCAUUGCCAUGAGCUGUGGGGUAGCUCUCAGACUUGGUUCUGAUCCCACGUGGCUGUGGCUAUGGUGUGGGCCAGCAGCUGCAGCUCCGAUUCGACCCCUAGCCUGGGAACCUCCAUAUGCUGUGGGUGCGGCCCUAAAAAGACGAACAACCAAAAAAUUUAAAAUCAAUGUACCAUAAUUCAACCUAAUUCAGGUCAUUUAAAUGACAGAAUUUGAUAUGUAUCCCGGGAGUCGUCUUUGCUAGUCCUGAUACAAUUGUUUCCUUUGUCUCCUGCAAACGUCUUGUGGGGGACAGUUUUAGUUGGGACUGAGAUUAUACCUACAAGGAUGUACUUAUGUGAAUUCUCCAGUUAGUCCAGGGGCUAAGAGACAAGGCAAAAUUGUCUUCCUCGCACUGAGAGCAAGGUGUAGUCAGCCUGUCACUCUUAACCCCGCCCAAGUGUCCAUCAAGUGUGAAAUGAAAAACCAAAACAAGGGGGAAAACACAGCAAGCAGAGCUUUUCACACACCCUUUCGUAGGAAAUUUUCCGAGGAUGUGUUCCCGCAAACUAAGGUAAUAAAACAAGAAGGAGGAAGGCAUGCGUGCCAAGAGGUAGCUGAUCCAAAUCAGGAAGGAAAUAAAGCCUGGGCGGCAGCUGUGGUUUAGACUUGGCAAGCCAAGAGUUCACACCAGAGCCAGAGAGAGACGGCCUCGGCGAACGGUCCCCGGGAAAAAGGGCACCCAUGGUUUCAGGUCUGUCUUGGAAAAGCUAGACCACAAAGAGAAAAGGCAAUUAUAAAUUCCCAGGGGAGUGCAGGGUGGGGGGACAUUCAAGAGAGACUAUAUUUGGGGAUAUUACUUCACUAGUGAAUAAUAAUUACAUGAUUGCAGUAAUAAAACACUGCUAGAUUUCCAACUUUGGGAAUUAAGCAUGGGAAGCCUUAGCAAACUUGCAGAACCCUGAGUCGGUCAGAGCCAAUGUUUUGUGAAUGCCUCCUAUGUUCCAGGCACUGUUCUAGAUGAUGAGGAUACAGUGAACGAAAGAGCUCUCAGUGCUCACGGGCUAGGAGGUGGAGUAAGCAAUAAACACGUCGAAUUAAGUGAGGUAAUGUCUCGGGUAGCAUGAAGAUACACAGCAUAAGGUGAGAGCACAUAGCUAAGGAUUGGAAGUUGCUUUGCUCACAUAGGAGACUUCUCGCAAGGAGUGAUGCUUCAGUUCCAAGUUAGAAGCUGGGAAGUUCCUGUUGCAGCUCAGAGGAAACGAAUCUGACUAGUAGCCAUAAGGACGCAGGUUUGAGUCUUGGCCUUACUCAGUGGGUUAAGGAUCCGGUGUUGCCGUGAGCUGUGGUGUAGCCCAAGUUGGAAGCUGGGAAGAGGGAGAAGAUCCAGGGUAUUACCAAGCAGAAGAACAAGGGUCCUAGGACAGGAAUUAGCUUAUGAUGGUCAAAGGAUAAGGACCAGUCUAGCAGAAGCAGAGUAAAUGGCAGGGGGUGGGCAGUGUAAGAGCAUGGAUGUUAGAGAUAGCCCAGGCCAGAUCAUUGAAGGUCUUAUGCGCAAUGGUGAGGAGGUUGCAGUGAGAGACCACUUUUUAGCAAGAGUUGUGAUGUGAUGCAGUCUGAUUUCUAUUUCAGAAAAAUCACCCUGCUCAUGUUAUAGAGGACAGAUCAUAGUAAGACGAGAGCAGUUGGUCCUGGAAAGAGAAGGUGGUGACUUAGAGUAGUGUUUUAGCAGGGGAGAUGGUGAGAAUAUAUUUUGGAAGCAGUGAUGACAGGACUUACACGGGGUAAGAGUCAGGGAGAGGAUUCGUUUCUGGCUGGAGCACCUGGUAGAUGGGGUAUCGUUGACUGAGAGUGUGCUACUUGGGAUAGGAGUACCUUUUGGAGGUCAAAUCAAGAGUUUGUUGUUGGAGGUUUUACAGAAAAAAAAAAAAAAUAUUCUCAACCUCCAGAAAGUACAGGUACGGUUGGGAGGGAAGUAGAAAUGCUAAAAGGGUAGAGAUGCCUGUACCCUCAUCCUACACAGUGGGCAGUAAAAGGAUGGCUUCUUGUUAAUGGAACAAAGCAAAGGAUACACACAUUAUUUCAUGUAAUACAGAGAAUCCAAAUGAUAGAACUAUAUUGCGUUAUAGACAGGGAGCAGAGAAGAAGUUAUUAGUGAUAUAAAUGCAGAGCUGUCAUAAAGAGAGAUUAGUGGGAGUUCCCAUUGUGGCUCAGUGGGUUAAGGACCUGAUGCUGUCUCUGUGAGGAUGCAGGUUUGAUCCCUGGCCUCACUCAGUGGGUUAAGGAUCCGACAAGCUUCACUGUAGGUCACAGAUUGUGGUCAGAUCUGCUAUUGCCAUGGCUGUGGUAUAGGUCCCAGCUAAGGAUCCAGUUUGACCCCUAGCCCGGGAAUAUCCAUAUGCUGCAGGUGCAGCCAUAAAAAAAUUUAAAAAUAAAUAAAGAGAAGUUAGUGGAUUAUAUCUAAAAUUGGUAAAGUAAGGAGUUCCCUGGUGGCUCAGUGGGUUAAGGAUCCCACCAGUGUCACUGCUGUGGCUCUGAUUCCUGCUGUGGCUCAAGUUUGAUACCUAGUCUGGGAAAUUCCCCAUGCCGUGGGCAUGGCCAAAAAAUGAAAUAAAAUAGGUAAAUUAAGAAAGAACAGUAUAAGCAUAUUAUUUAGUGACUGGAGCUAACCAUCAAAAGAACUGAAAAUAGAAGCAAUUUAAAACAAGCAUGAAGGAAAGGAGCAGCAGGCCAAGGGAUUGUUGCUGUUAUUUUAUUUUUUCAGCCCUCUGUAUAAGCGUCAUUGUUAAAAGGGCAACGCUUUUAAAGGCCUCAACGAAAGCAGAUUUUCAGCAUAUGGGGGGGAAAUUCUUUUAGUGUCCCCAAAUUACUUGAACAGUGGGGAAGCCAGGAGCAUUCAGUCUUAUUUCUCCAAAAUAACACCAAGAAUCUUCCACUUAAAAACAUGCUAGAAGGUGCGUGCACUACCAGGUAUCAAAAGAAAAAUUUAGUCUGUUCCUUUCUUGACCUGUAGUGGUUUCAACAGUUCUAAUUUAAUUUCAUUCUGAUUUAAAGUAUGCUUUGUGCCCUCUACCACUUUCUAGAAAACCAUCUGAGCCCCUACCAGAAUUCGGGGGGCGGGGGGGGGGGUGGCCAUUUGCCCAACAUGAUGGAAUGGAGAGACCCAGGAAAGGAAGAACGGCUUGAUCCAGGAAGCAGUGCCAAGGAGCAAAAGAAUGGCAGCAACAGACACUUAAAAAGUGACAGUGGCUGGGAGUUCCCAUCGGGGCCCAGUGGUGACGAACCCAGCUAGUAUUCAUGAGGACACGGGUUCGAUCCCUGGCCUCACUCAGUGGGUUAAGGAUCCGGCAUUGCUGUGAGCUGUGGUGUAGGUCGAAGAUGCAAUUCAGAUUCCGAGUUGCUGUGGCUGUGGUGUAGGCCAGCAGCUCAGAUUUGACCCCUAGCCUGGGAACUUCCAUAUGCCUUGGGUGUGGCC